CGCAGCGGUAUAUCGAGAAUGGAAGGG
Molecule: non-coding RNA, 27 nt
Filed under: Bombyx mori (domestic silkworm)
Lineage: Eukaryota; Metazoa; Arthropoda; Insecta; Lepidoptera; Bombycidae
Source: RNAcentral